CUCUUUCUCUUUUUUAGAAGCCAAGCUGCAGUCAACACACAGAAGCAAAAGGUCCUCAUGUAAUUCACAAGGCUGAUGGACCUCAGUUCAUUCUAUGAGCAUCUGGACAGCUGUCUAUUCAGUGGUUCAGGUCAAAUGAGGGGGUUAAAGAAAUUACAUCCAUACUGGAACGUCUUCACAAGGAUGCAUCGAAUCAAAGACAGUUGGGCAGCAGCAUUGCAGAGCCUACCAGGGUAC
Long non-coding RNA from Archocentrus centrarchus (flier cichlid), 237 nucleotides. RefSeq lists it as uncharacterized. The record is from RefSeq and is a predicted model, not a curated record. The transcript is spliced from 3 exons. Lineage: Eukaryota; Metazoa; Chordata; Actinopteri; Cichliformes; Cichlidae.